This is a long non-coding RNA of Chenopodium quinoa (quinoa), 501 nucleotides long. RefSeq lists it as uncharacterized. Lineage: Eukaryota; Viridiplantae; Streptophyta; Magnoliopsida; Caryophyllales; Amaranthaceae. The transcript has 3 exons. The record is from RefSeq and is a predicted model, not a curated record.
AGUUCACUAUCUCAGAUUUAAUUUGAGAAUAUUAAAACCGCCUAAAGCAAACACGAAACCCAUUUCAAUUCUCUGUUCUCAACCCUUACAAUUCAUUCUCUCUACGACUCUACUUCAUCCUAAAUUCGCAUUGAGGUUUAGAGCGUCAUGAAUGUCAUAAUCAGAUCUUGGUUAUCCUUGCACUGCUCAUAUGCUUGCUGAAUAUCUCUAUUCGCCUUUAAUGGCAUUCAAUUUCAUCUCUUUCGAUCUUUGUCGAUAAUAUUCAGGAACUUGACUUUCAUUCCAAGUUGGACUAAUUUAUAACCUUUAUGGAUUGGAAAAGGCAAUGUUUACAAGAGAAUAGGCCGGAACACUUGAGCAUCAAAACAAGAGACUAUAUAUAAGGCCAUUUUCUAUCUAUCUAUUUUGGUUUUUAGUCUUAUAUUAGUGAUGAAUUUAUUUAGGGACAAGCUACUAUAAAAUGCGACGUUUUUUUUUAUUUUAUUUUACUUUUAUUUUCUA